Molecule: ribosomal RNA, 2784 nt
Filed under: Klebsiella pneumoniae
Lineage: Bacteria; Pseudomonadati; Pseudomonadota; Gammaproteobacteria; Enterobacterales; Enterobacteriaceae
Description: bacterial LSU rRNA
Rfam family: Bacterial large subunit ribosomal RNA
Source: RNAcentral
AUGGGGAAACCCAGUGUGAUUCGUCACACUAUCGUUAACUGAAUACAUAGGUUAACGAGGCGAACCGGGGGAACUGAAACAUCUAAGUACCCCGAGGAAAAGAAAUCAACCGAGAUUCCCCCAGUAGCGGCGAGCGAACGGGGAGCAGCCCAGAGUCUGAAUCAGCUUGUGUGUUAGUGGAACGGUCUGGAAAGUCCGACGGUACAGGGUGAUAGUCCCGUACACCAAAAUGCACAGGCUGUGAACUCGAAGAGUAGGGCGGGACACGUGGUAUCCUGUCUGAAUAUGGGGGGACCAUCCUCCAAGGCUAAAUACUCCUGACUGACCGAUAGUGAACCAGUACCGUGAGGGAAAGGCGAAAAGAACCCCGGCGAGGGGAGUGAAAAAGAACCUGAAACCGUGUACGUACAAGCAGUGGGAGCACCUUCGGGUGUGACUGCGUACCUUUUGUAUAAUGGGUCAGCGACUUAUAUUCUGUAGCAAGGUUAACCGUAUAGGGGAGCCGCAGGGAAACCGAGUCUUAACUGGGCGUUAAGUUGCAGGGUAUAGACCCGAAACCCGGUGAUCUAGCCAUGGGCAGGUUGAAGGUUGGGUAACACUAACUGGAGGACCGAACCGACUAAUGUUGAAAAAUUAGCGGAUGACUUGUGGCUGGGGGUGAAAGGCCAAUCAAACCGGGAGAUAGCUGGUUCUCCCCGAAAGCUAUUUAGGUAGCGCCUCGUGAACUCAUCUUCGGGGGUAGAGCACUGUUUCGGCUAGGGGGUCAUCCCGACUUACCAACCCGAUGCAAACUACGAAUACCGAAGAAUGUUAUCACGGGAGACACACGGCGGGUGCUAACGUCCGUCGUGAAGAGGGAAACAACCCAGACCGCCAGCUAAGGUCCCAAAGUCAUGGUUAAGUGGGAAACGAUGUGGGAAGGCACAGACAGCCAGGAUGUUGGCUUAGAAGCAGCCAUCAUUUAAAGAAAGCGUAAUAGCUCACUGGUCGAGUCGGCCUGCGCGGAAGAUGUAACGGGGCUAAACCAUGCACCGAAGCUGCGGCAGCGACACUAUGUGUUGUUGGGUAGGGGAGCGUUCUGUAAGCCUGCGAAGGUGUGCUGUGAGGCAUGCUGGAGGUAUCAGAAGUGCGAAUGCUGACAUAAGUAACGAUAAAGCGGGUGAAAAGCCCGCUCGCCGGAAGACCAAGGGUUCCUGUCCAACGUUAAUCGGGGCAGGGUGAGUCGACCCCUAAGGCGAGGCCGAAAGGCGUAGUCGAUGGGAAACAGGUUAAUAUUCCUGUACUUGGUGUUACUGCGAAGGGGGGACGGAGAAGGCUAUGUUAGCCGGGCGACGGUUGUCCCGGUUUAAGCAUGUAGGCUGGUUGUCCAGGCAAAUCCGGAUAAUCAAGGCUGAGGUGUGAUGACGAGGCACUACGGUGCUGAAGUAACAAAUGCCCUGCUUCCAGGAAAAGCCUCUAAGCAUCAGGUAACAUCAAAUCGUACCCCAAACCGACACAGGUGGUCAGGUAGAGAAUACCAAGGCGCUUGAGAGAACUCGGGUGAAGGAACUAGGCAAAAUGGUGCCGUAACUUCGGGAGAAGGCACGCUGGUGUGUAGGUGAAGUCCCUGCGGAUGGAGCUGAGACCAGUCGAAGAUACCAGCUGGCUGCAACUGUUUAUUAAAAACACAGCACUGUGCAAACACGAAAGUGGACGUAUACGGUGUGACGCCUGCCCGGUGCCGGAAGGUUAAUUGAUGGGGUUAUCCGUAAGGAGAAGCUCUUGAUCGAAGCCCCGGUAAACGGCGGCCGUAACUAUAACGGUCCUAAGGUAGCGAAAUUCCUUGUCGGGUAAGUUCCGACCUGCACGAAUGGCGUAAUGAUGGCCAGGCUGUCUCCACCCGAGACUCAGUGAAAUUGAACUCGCUGUGAAGAUGCAGUGUACCCGCGGCAAGACGGAAAGACCCCGUGAACCUUUACUAUAGCUUGACACUGAACAUUGAGCCUUGAUGUGUAGGAUAGGUGGGAGGCUUUGAAGCGUGGACGCCAGUCUGCGUGGAGCCAACCUUGAAAUACCACCCUUUAAUGUUUGAUGUUCUAACGUUGGCCCCUGACCGGGGUUGCGGACAGUGUCUGGUGGGUAGUUUGACUGGGGCGGUCUCCUCCCAAAGCGUAACGGAGGAGCACGAAGGUUAGCUAAUCCUGGUCGGACAUCAGGAGGUUAGUGCAAUGGCAUAAGCUAGCUUGACUGCGAGCGUGACGGCGCGAGCAGGUGCGAAAGCAGGUCAUAGUGAUCCGGUGGUUCUGAAUGGAAGGGCCAUCGCUCAACGGAUAAAAGGUACUCCGGGGAUAACAGGCUGAUACCGCCCAAGAGUUCAUAUCGACGGCGGUGUUUGGCACCUCGAUGUCGGCUCAUCACAUCCUGGGGCUGAAGUAGGUCCCAAGGGUAUGGCUGUUCGCCAUUUAAAGUGGUACGCGAGCUGGGUUUAGAACGUCGUGAGACAGUUCGGUCCCUAUCUGCCGUGGGCGCUGGAGAAUUGAGGGGGGCUGCUCCUAGUACGAGAGGACCGGAGUGGACGCAUCACUGGUGUUCGGGUUGUCAUGCCAAUGGCACUGCCCGGUAGCUAAAUGCGGAAGAGAUAAGUGCUGAAAGCAUCUAAGCACGAAACUUGCCCCGAGAUGAGUUCUCCCUGAGACUUUAAGUCUCCUGAAGGAACGUUGAAGACGACGACGUUGAUAGGCCGGGUGUGUAAGCGCAGCGAUGCGUUGAGCUAACCGGUACUAAUGAACCGUGAGGCUUAACCUU